Molecule: small RNA, 1351 nt
Filed under: Pan troglodytes (chimpanzee)
Lineage: Eukaryota; Metazoa; Chordata; Mammalia; Primates; Hominidae
Description: processed transcript
Source: RNAcentral
CCUGCGGUGCUUUAACUUGUGUAACAGAGAUGCUGCCUCUGGGAGAGGCGGGGAGGGAGGGGCCAACUGGAGCGGGCGGCGGGAGGGUGGAGGGCGGGGCGCGGCUUGGGGCCUGGGUUCCUUUGCCCCUUGCCCACCAGGGAGGGGUGGGAGACGAGAGAGGGUGAACUUUCCCCUGCGAGAUUCUGGUGAAAGGGGAAAUGUGCUUCGAGUCAGUAAAGCUGCGCAAGUGCACAGUCAAGGAGAGAGUCUUGGGAAAACCAAGGAUAGUUCCCGGAGAUGACUUUUGGACUGCGGAAACGUUUGUCAGAGGAAAGAGGCUUCAGUUUAAUGUGAGAUCAUUGGAAGUUGAACUAUUCAGGCGGCGAGCAGAGCCCCUUCCUCCAUCUUCCCACUGUAUGGUCUUGUCCCUUAGCCUAUAAUUUCUUAUAAAGAGCGUUUUGAAGACUAGGUUUUUACUGGCAGCGCCCUGAUUCAGCCUCACAGUAUAAAGAGAGAAGUCAGAGAAUCCUAGAAAUUUAUUGCUUGAAGAAGGGGUUGGUGUCCUCAUAUCUCACCUUCCUCAGGCUGGGCUUCAUCACCAGGCCUCCUCACAGAUUCCUGUCCGUUCUGUGUCCUGGACUCCGGAUACCUCAACUCUCAGUACUUUGUGCUCAGCCCAGGCCCAGAGCCAUGGCUAUCUCCUCUUCCUCCUGCGAACUGCCCCUGGUGGCUGUGUGCCAGGUAACAUCGACGCCAGACAAGCAACAGAACUUUAAAACAUGUGCUGAGCUGGUUCGAGAGGCUGCCAGACUGGGUGCCUGCCUGGCUUUCCUGCCUGAGGCAUUUGACUUCAUUGCACGGGACCCUGCAGAGACGCUACACCUGUCUGAACCACUGGGUGGGAAACUUUUGGAAGAAUACACCCAGCUUGCCAGGGAAUGUGGACUCUGGCUGUCCUUGGGUGGUUUCCAUGAGCGUGGCCAAGACUGGGAGCAGACUCAGAAAAUCUACAAUUGUCACGUGCUGCUGAACAGCAACGGGGCAGUAGUGGCCACUUACAGGAAGACACAUCUGUGUGACGUAGAGAUUCCAGGGCAGGGGCCUAUGUGUGAAAGCAACUCUACCAUGCCUGGGCCCAGUCUUGAGUCACCUGUCAGCACACCAGCAGGCAAGAUUGGUCUAGCUGUCUGCUAUGACAUGCGGUUCCCUGAACUCUCUCUGGCAUUGGCUCAAGCUGGAGCAGAGAUACUUACCUAUCCUUCAGCUUUUGGAUCCGUUACAGGCCCAGCCCACUGGGAGGUGUUGCUGCGGGCCCGUGCUAUCGAAACCCAGUGCUAUGUAGUGGCAGCGGCACAGUGUGGACGCCACC